Molecule: signal recognition particle RNA, 269 nt
Filed under: Candidatus Woesearchaeota archaeon
Lineage: Archaea; Nanobdellati; Candidatus Woesearchaeota
Description: signal recognition particle sRNA
Rfam family: Archaeal signal recognition particle RNA
Source: RNAcentral
CGGAGGACUAUGCCGGGAGGUUAGCGCUCUUCUGUGACUGCACACGCGCUUCAGGCAGGGCGAAUCCCGCGAGAGGUGCCUCCUUUGCGCAAUGGUCUUGGCCAGGGUGUUGACACUCUGUCCCAAUUGGCUCUUGCGGCGAGAAAUCCCGUCAGGCCCGGAAGGGAGCAGCGGUAACUGGCUGCUGGGGCGCUUUUGGGGGCGCGGAGCCGAGCUCUUUCCAGGGUAGCCCUUGCCCAAAGGUUGUAUCGAUUGCGGGGAGUCCUCCG